AGAGUUUGAUCAUGGCUCAGGAUGAACGCUGGCGGCGUGCUUAACACAUGCAAGUCGAACGAACCUUCGGGUUAGUGGCGGACGGGUGAGUAACGCGUGAGAAUCUGCCCUCAGGAGGGGGAUAACGGUUGGAAACGACCGCUAAUACCCCAUAUGCCUAUUGGUGAAAUGAAUUUCGCCUGAGGAUGAGCUCGCGUCUGAUUAGCUAGUUGGUGAGGUAAUGGCUUACCAAGGCUUCGAUCAGUAGCUGGUCUGAGAGGAUGAUCAGCCACACUGGGACUGAGACACGGCCCAGACUCCUACGGGAGGCAGCAGUGGGGAAUUUUCCGCAAUGGGCGAAAGCCUGACGGAGCAACGCCGCGUGAGGGACGAAGGCCUCUGGGCUGUAAACCUCUUUUCUCAAGGAAGAAGAUAUGACGGUACUUGAGGAAUAAGCCACGGCUAAUUCCGUGCCAGCAGCCGCGGUAAUACGGGAGUGGCAAGCGUUAUCCGGAAUUAUUGGGCGUAAAGCGUCCGCAGGCGGCUUUUCAAGUCUGCUGUUAAAACGUGGAGCUUAACUCCAUCAUGGCAGUGGAAACUGAAAGGCUUGAGUAUGGUAGGGGCAGAGGGAAUUCCCGGUGUAGCGGUGAAAUGCGUAGAUAUCGGGAAGAACACCAGUGGCGAAGGCGCUCUGCUGGGCCAUUACUGACGCUCAUGGACGAAAGCCAGGGGAGCGAAAGGGAUUAGAUACCCCUGUAGUCCUGGCCGUAAACGAUGAACACUAGGUGUCGGGGGAAUCGACCCCUUCGGUGUCGUAGCUAACGCGUUAAGUGUUCCGCCUGGGGAGUACGCACGCAAGUGUGAAACUCAAAGGAAUUGACGGGGGCCCGCACAAGCGGUGGAGUAUGUGGUUUAAUUCGAUGCAACGCGAAGAACCUUACCAGGGUUUGACAUCCUGCGAACCUCUUAGAAAUUUGAGGGUGCCUUCGGGAAUGCAGUGACAGGUGGUGCAUGGCUGUCGUCAGCUCGUGUCGUGAGAUGUUGGGUUAAGUCCCGCAACGAGCGCAACCCACGUUUUUAGUUGCCAGCAUUUAGUUGGGCACUCUAGAAAGACCGCCGGUGAUAAACCGGAGGAAGGUGUGGAUGACGUCAAGUCAUCAUGCCCCUUACACCCUGGGCUACACACGUACUACAAUGCUACGGACAAAGGGCAGCAAACUCGCGAGAGCUAGCAAAUCCCAUAAACCGUGGCUCAGUUCAGAUCGUAGGCUGCAACUCGCCUACGUGAAGCAGGAAUCGCUAGUAAUCGCAGGUCAGCAUACUGCGGUGAAUACGUUCCCGGGCCUUGUACACACCGCCCGUCACACCAUGGAAGUUGGCCAUGCCCGAAGUCGUUACUCCAACCCUUGUGGAGGAGGACGCCGAAGGUGGGGCUAAUGACUGGGGUGAAGUCGUAACAAGGUAACCGUA
This 1449-nucleotide ribosomal RNA is filed under the name uncultured bacterium. Its description in RNAcentral is "bacterial SSU rRNA". It matches the Rfam family "Bacterial small subunit ribosomal RNA". The record is from RNAcentral.